GAGUUUGCACGAUGCGUUGGUACCUAUCAAGGUGUAAAAGGGAAUCCGAAAAUCGGAGCUGUCCCCGCAACUGUACACACGGACGACCGCUGAGAAAAGCCACUAUGGAGACAUGGGAAGGCUUGGCGGAAGGAUGAAGUGAAGCCAGGAGACCUGCCAGACAUCGUCAAAGCAA
Molecule: non-coding RNA, 175 nt
Filed under: Sporosarcina newyorkensis
Lineage: Bacteria; Bacillati; Bacillota; Bacilli; Caryophanales; Caryophanaceae
Source: RNAcentral